RNAcentral lists this long non-coding RNA (22600 nucleotides) under Triticum aestivum (bread wheat). RNAcentral's name for it is "long non-coding RNA (TAES_LNC017588)". The record is from RNAcentral. Lineage: Eukaryota; Viridiplantae; Streptophyta; Magnoliopsida; Poales; Poaceae.
UGUGUGUUGCAGCAAACCCCCCUCCAAACAGCCCAAAACCCCUCUAAGUCAUCUCCAUGCUCUAGGUCGUUCGAUCACGAUCGUGUGGGCGAAAACCGCACUCCGUUUGGAGUCUCCUAGCUCCCUCUACCUAUAUAUACACCUCCCCCUCCGAAUACAUUCGCAGAUCAAACCCUAGAAACUCCUCCCAUCGCCGCCGAACGUGUCCGUACCGCCGACGGACGAACCCGCCGCCGCCCUCGCCCACUCGCNNNNNNNNNNNNNNNNNNNNNNNNNNNNNNNNNNNNNNNNNNNNNNNNNNNNNNNNNNNNNNNNNNNNNNNNNNNNNNNNNNNNNNNNNNNNNNNNNNNNNNNNNNNNNNNNNNNNNNNNNNNNNNNNNNNNNNNNNNNNNNNNNNNNNNNNNNNNNNNNNNNNNNNNNNNNNNNNNNNNNNNNNNNNNNNNNNNNNNNNNNNNNNNNNNNNNNNNNNNNNNNNNNNNNNNNNNNNNNNNNNNNNNNNNNNNNNNNNNNNNNNNNNNNNNNNNNNNNNNNNNNNNNNNNNNNNNNNNNNNNNNNNNNNNNNNNNNNNNNNNNNNNNNNNNNNNNNNNNNNNNNNNNNNNNNNNNNNNNNNNNNNNNNNNNNNNNNNNNNNNNNNNNNNNNNNNNNNNNNNNNNNNNNNNNNNNNNNNNNNNNNNNNNNNNNNNNNNNNNNNNNNNNNNNNNNNNNNNNNNNNNNNNNNNNNCGCUCUCCGCCGGCGCCGAGCGCCUCCGCCUCCGUCGUCCCGUCACCGCCGGCGCGCCGCCGCCUCCUCCGCCGCCGUUCCCCGGCGCCUCCUCCUUCCUCCCUCGCCGAGCUAGCUCCGGUGAGAGGCAGCAGUUCCGGCGAGCCCGAGUCGGCUGCUCCAGAUGUCGAUCCAGUCAACGCCGAGGUUGACUUCUCCUCCCCGAAAAUCUCUUAAGUCCCGAUAUUUUCUACAUAACAUGCCUCUGUUCAUCGCAUCAUAACUCUCUGCAUAUAGCUCCGUUUCGCGCGUGUAAUAUAUCGAAAUGUUCGCCUCGUGAUGCUCUUCAUUUUGUUCCAUGGCACCAUGUUCAUUUGAGUCCAUCUUGAUGCCCAAAUCUCUGGUGCAAGAGUGCUAGUUGCUGUUAUCUGUUGUUACUUAGCAGAACUUGAGGAUUUGUUAUUUUUGUUGCAUUUAAUCUGUGCAUCUUAUGAGUAUGAGCUCUACAUGUGUUUUGUUGUAUGCCAUGCCAUCUUUCCAGAGGUGUAUGCCAUGUAUUUUUGUGAUCUCUGUGGUGACUAGCAUAAGCAUGCAAACUAGGCUCUGUAAUGUUUCCGGUUUCAGGGACAGUAAUUUCUCUCAAGUCUGUGACUGCUGUUAUUUUGUUGCUAUGUAUCCAUGUCUCUACAGAGAGAUCCAUGCUUAUUUUGGUGAUGUUCAGUAAGGAUGUUUAGUAGAUAUUGUUGUAAUUGAUCCAUUCAUGCCUUUGUUUGUAAUUAUGGAGUGCCAUAGCAUGACUCAUUCUUGCUCUCCUUUUGCUAUAAAAUGUUUCUGGCAGAUUCUUAACAUGAUAUGCAAUUUUGCCAAGCUUGUUCUAGUUGUUUCAUACAUGCUAUGUAUUUGUUCUUGCCACGGAUAGCUUCAUAAACAUGCCAUAUUGCUGUAGGUAUGCUUGUUUUGUUAUGCAUUGCUUUGUGGUGAGUGCAUCAAGCUCACAAAGAUGCCUUCAUAUUAUUGUUUCUGCCAUGCUCUGUUUUCUGCGAAGUCUGAAACCUGUUAACGAAACUUGCUAUGUUUACAUGGUUGCCAUCAUAUCUUCUGAUCCUUUUUGGCUUAUGGUCAGUAAGGGACUUUUGUCAUAUGCAUUUAGUAGAAUACUUCCCUGCCUUCUUUUGCCAUGUUAAGUUCCUGUAGCAUGUUGAUUUCGUGCUCUGAACAUUGCUACCUGAUGCUGUUUCAGGCAUGUCCAGUAAUUUCACCAAGUCUGUGAACCUGAUAUCUUUUGGACUUUUGCCAUUCUUGUUUGAACCUGCUGUGGUGUGAUCUAGCCGUAGCUCAGUGUUCAUCUUUUGUCAAGCAUCUCCUGUAGAUUACUGGCAUAUGCUUUUUUGCUAUUUUGAAGUGUUGUAGCUUAGUUUCUUGAUGUAUUCUAAGUGCUAUCAUGCUGUUAAUCACAGAUUCGUGUCAUUCUUGUUUUGCUUGCCAUUUGCAAACCGUGCAUCCGUUUCCGGUGAUCUUUAUAUCGAUUUCAACCGAAAUCAUCUCAUCUUUCCAGUGGCAUGUUUGGUUUGCCAAGUUAAUUCCUUGUUCAUCAUUUUUCUUCCGGAGCACGCAUAUGCAUCGCAUAUCAUAUAUUGCAUAUCAUACAUGUAUUGCAUCAUGUUGCUUGUGCAUUUCCCGUGAUUGAUUGUGGUUCCGUUGCUUGUGUUCUUGUUUUGGGUAGAGCCGGGAGACGAGUUCGUGAACGAGGAACCUGUUGAGUACGCUUAUGAGGAUCAAGUUUUCGACAACUCUGAGAACCUUGCAGGCAAGAUGACCACACCCUCGAAAUCACUUCUAUCUUUGCUUUGCUAGUUGUUCGUUCUAUUGUCAUGCUGCGCCACCUACCACUUGCUAUAUCAUGCCUCCCAUAUUGCCAUGUCAGCCUCUAACCAUCCUUCCUAGCAAACCGUUGUUUGGCUAAGUUACCGCUUUCGCUCAGCCCUUCUUAUAGCGUUGCUAGUUGCAGGUGAAGAUGAAGUUGGUUCCAUGUUGGAACAUGGAUAUGUUGGGAUAUCACAAUAUCUCUUAUUAUAUUAAUGCAUCUAUAUAUUUGGUAAAGGGUGGAAGGCUCGGCCUUAUGCCUGGUGUUUUGUUCUACUCUUGCCGCCCUAGUUUCCGUCAUACCUGUUGAGGAUAUAGACCUUAGAGUCACCCGCCAGAAGGGGCCGGGUUACUCAUAUGGUCAUUGCCAGAAGCCCGGCGCUAAGCUUAAAGACGGUGGGCCAGAGAUGGGCUUAAGACCCGGAUACGGCUUAAGGCCCGUAGUUGCAAUUAUUAUCAUGGUAGAACUUGUAGUGUAAGGCAAGAAUAGUUGAGAGUCCGAGCCGGAUACUCUUAUGAGCCGGCCGGGACUCUGAGAGCUGCUGGGCGUCAGCCUCCCUAUAUAAAGGGAUGACCCGGCAGCGGUUUAGGGACAAGAAAGAUCUGAUCGAGAGCCAGACAUAGCAGUUUAGCUCCCUGGUCAUCGAAACCCUAAUCAAUACCACCUCAACUGGACGUAGGCGUUUACCUUCACCGUAAGGGGCCGAACCAGUAUAAACCCUCAUGUUCCUUGUCCCGCUUAACCCCUUUAAGCUUCCUAGCUGCGAUGGCUCCACGACUAAGUCCUAGCUCGAGGACAUCUGCCGUGACAAUUCCACGACAGUUGGCGCCCACCGUGGGGCCAGCGCACGGUGGAUUUGAAUUUUUGAAGGGCAGCUUCGAAGGGCUCAAGGGAUACGCUGUGGGCCGGAUGACCAAGAGUCGUCGCGGCAAGCUCUACAUCGACGAUGCAAACUGGGGGCCCGACGCCGGCUCAAUUGAGUACGGGUACCGGGUCCCCUUCGGCGGAAUUCAUGUUUUCAUUGGCAAGAUUGGUGAGCCGGGCCCUGAGCCGGAUCUCUGCACCGAUCUCAUCGAGACGGCUCAGCGCGCACAACCCGCCCGGGCCUGGCCUGCCGUAAGGCAUGCUUUUGUGGGAUGUAUCCAUGGAGGGCCCUCUGAUCGAUCUGGAUCUGGUGAUGAGACGGCUGCCGGCUCUGACGGCGAGUCGUCCACCGAUGAGUCAAACUCGUUGUAUCAACUUCAAGAUGGCAGGCUCAUGGGUUGUUCCGAUGGUGACAGUAUUCCGGACCCGUUUGAGCCGCCAAGUCAGGUUGGGGUCUUUAUGGCCGGUGCACAGCCUGUUCAGAACCCUGCUGCUGGAGCAGGAAACCCGGUGCCCUCGCCGGCUCAGGUGCUAAUGGAUCUCAUGGACAAGAUGACGGCCCUGUUAACCGCCACGAUUGACCCGGCGGAUCAGGCUCAGCAUGAUGCGGAGGUGGCACAGCUAAAAUUGGAUCUAGUGAAAGCAAAGGAAGAUCUGGCGGCAAAAGGGAUCAGGAUGGCUGCGGAGAGGGCGGCUCUCGAUGCUCAAACCCAGUUGAUUCAAGCACAGUCCUUCCGGCUCACUAUGGAUCAAAACGCGUCCAAUGAGGUCCUGAGAAGAAGGCAUCAAAAGGCCCAAUCUCGACUCCCUCCGGUUUACGAUCCACGCAACCUCUUCAACACGCCGGGUGCAGGGUCUAGUAACCGCCAAGGGUCAUAGUGCCCGGAUCCGGGACCCCUAUUCAGCCACAAGUGAUGGGGCCUCCCCAGGUGCCCCUGCCCCGCCUCAGUACGUGCCAAUACCACCGGGUCAUUAUAAUAACCCGCUGGAGAACAUGGUCGCCGCGGCAGCACGGCUGGCAACUCUCCCAGUUGACGGCGACUCUCCGACGGCUAUUGAAACCCGCCAGGUUAGGGCACUCCUUCAGAUAGCACUGGCGCAGCAAGAGGCGUACUCCUACAGCCGGGACAGGAUCCACUCGACCCCUCGCCCAGGCCGGAGCCCGAGUUAUAGCAGACACAUGGUCUCAGCGACCGGCUCAAGUAACGUCCGACGCCAUGACCCGCCCCCUGGCCAUGGCCCGGCUCAUAAUGGAGCCUUUCACGCAGCAGACCAGGACAGAGCGCGACAAGAGGCGGAGCAGGUGCCUCAGUUGACGGCUUACCAGACGCCCCCGGCUUAUCCGACGGCUUCCGUCGACGUGGGUAUCCCUACCAGGACUGGGGGUGUCCCUUGUUUAGUGCCAGCUAUCCGCAAUGAACGUCUACCCAAGGACUUCAAAGGCCCUAGGAAGGUGCCUAAUUACACAGCAGACUUACAACCCGCAGCCUGGAUCGAGAGUUAUGAGAUGGCUAUGGAACUGCUGGAGGUCAGUGAGGCGGCAAUGGCCAAGUACUUCACCAUGAUGUUAGAUGGGACUGCCCGCACUUGGUUGAAAGGGCUACCACCGAAUUCCAUUGGGUCUUGGGCUGAGCUGAAGGCCCGGUUCAUCCAAAACUUCAAGGAUACCUGUAGGCAGUCUAUGUCAAUUGUGGAUCUGACUAACUGCAAGCAGCAGGAGGGUGAGUCUACGACACAUUGGGUUCGCCGGGUUAAGGAGAUAAUACAUUCCUCGGAUAAGAUGGACGCCGGCUCUGCAGUCUUGAUGUUGGAGCAGAAUUGUCGUUUUGUGCCCCUGAAGAUGAAACUCGGGCGGCUCAAGCGCGACUGCAAUGAUAUGGGUAUGGCGGCUCUUGUCAAGUACGCCGAUUCUGAUGGUACCAAGGACCCCGCUUCAGAUGAUGAAAGGACAGGGAAGGGAAAGAAGAACGGCAAUGGCAAGGGUCCUCAGUAUAACCCGGGGAACCAAGGAGGAGGCAAGCGCAAGGCCGAUGGCAGCCUAGAGUUUGUAGCCAACGCCAGCUCACAAGGUAAUAACCAGCGACGCAAGGGGAGGCCCCCUCCCCGAGGCGGCGGGUCAGGCCCGACGCUGGAGCAGCUGUUAAAUGAGCCUUGCCCAAGGCAUGGUUCUAGAGAGAAGCCAGCGACUCAUCUAUGGAAGGAUUGUGCAAUCAUGAAGGCAUUUAAGAAUUACAAUGGCCCGGGCGGCGGCUCAGGCGCCGGCGGCUUUCAUGGCCCGGGCGGCGGCUCAAAUUCUAACCCUCAGAACGGUCAAGGGGGCUUUAAUCAGCAAUCUGGCCAGGGUCAUCAACAGCAGCAGGGAGGUUAUCAGACCAAUCCAAAGCAGCUUAGCGGUGGGCAGUAUCAUGUGUUUACCACCAGUCUGUGUAAGCGAGAUCAGAAGCUUCAUAAGAGGGCUGUGAACGCUGUUGAGCCGGCGGUUCCACGCUACUUACGGUGGUCUGAGCAGCCUAUAGUGUGGAGUAGGGAGGAUCACCCUCCCCGGGUGGAUAAUCCGGGUCACUUGGCCCUGGUGGUGGCUCCUCAGGUGGGAGGAUAUAAGUUCACUAAGGUGCUCAUGGAUGGAGGCAGCAGCAUCAACAUCCUCUAUUAUGAGACAUUUCGUCGUAUGGGAUUGAUUGACAAGAACCUCAGCCAGUCCAACACUAUUUUCCACGGUGUGGUACCUGAUAAGUCGCUUAUCCAGUCGGCAAGAUUGAGUUGGAAGUGGCCUUUGGAGAUGAGAACAACUACAGGGUGGAGAAAUUGACCUUUGAGGUGGUCAAGAUAAGAAGUCCAUACCAUGCUAUAUUUGGACGGCCGGCUUACGCCAAGUUCAUGGCACGGCCGUGUUAUGUGUACUUACAACUCAAGAUGCCGGGUCACAAUGGGACCAUUACGGUUCACGGCAGCCGGAAAGUGGCUCUGGAGUGUGAGGAAGGCGAUGCAGCAUAUGCAGAAUCUGUUUGCGCAACAGAGGAGUUGAAAUUUUACAAAGACAAUGUUGACCCAACUGAUAUGACCUCUCUGAAAAAGCCAACUACGGAGCAUGAGCCGGCAAUGAAAUUUAAAUCGGCCGAUGAGACUAAACUUGUUGAUUUCGUUCCAGGAGAUUCAUCUCAGCAAUUUAGCAUCAGUGCCAAUCUGGAUCCAAAAUAGGAAAGCGCGCUCAUCGAGUUCAUCCAUGAGAAUAGGGACAUCUUCGCAUGGAAACCUUCUGACAUGCCAGGUGUACCUAGAGAACUCGCUGAGCACACUCUCAAUGUUGAUCCGAAAUUUAAGCCGGUCAGGCAGUUCCUUCGGCGGUUCAAUGAGGAGAGGAGGAAAGCUAUUGGUGAAGAGGUGGCCCGGCUCUUGGCGGACGGGUUUAUUGUUGAAGUCUUUCACCCAGAGUGGUUAGCUAACCCGGUGCUCGUGCUCAAGAAGAACGGCACUUGGCGGAUGUGUGUGGACUACACGGACUUAAACAAGGCGUGUCCGGCUGAUCCUUUUGCCCUCCCCCGUAUUGAUCAAAUUAUUGAUGCUACGGCAGGUUGUGCGCGCUUAAGUUUCUUGGAUGCUUAUUCUGGAUAUCAUCAGAUUAAAAUGGCAGUUAAGGACCAGGAGAAGACGGCAUUCAUCACUCCCUUUGGAGCCUUCUGCUAUGUGUCUAUGCCCUUUGGACUCAAGUGUGCACAGGCGAUUUAUCAGUGUUGUGUGCAGAACUGUCUUCAUAAGCAGAUUGGGCGCAAUGUGUCGGAGUAAAUGGCCACGGGUAGCCAUUCCGGCUACCCCUGGCUCUUCAGAAAAAUUAUCAGGCCUUUGGGCCUUCAAGCACUCCAAGCAGUGGGGCCGCCUUCCCUGGCCGGCUACCACUAAAGCCGACUCCCAGAAGGCGACCCAGCCUCACCGACUCCUCCCUAGGACGACUACGGGGUGGCCGACUCCAAGAAGCCGGCCAAGAAGGACGCCGACUCCUAGGAGCCAGCCAAGACCACAACCACUCCUACAUAACGGCGACGUGACGGGGUGUGGCCACAGUGCAGCCCACGACCCCCGAAGCCCGAGGCGGGCAUGCCUACAGGAGGCCGUACGGGAGGGACGUCUCCCGUGCGGCUCGGCACUGUAGCCACGCUAGCCUCGACGUCAUCCACGACCCACUCCUGUACGGCUCGAGGACUGCGGGCCCCUUCAGCCAGAGAGAGGCGUGAAGGCGGCCCGGCUUUUCCUAGUCGGCCAAGAGUAUAGCCGGCCUCCAGAAGCCGGCUACUCCCUUCCUCGAAGCAGGAGCCCCAUUAAGGAGACAAGACGAGGUGAGGCUACAGUGAUAGCCCCCGAGGCGGCCCACUAUAGCCACGCUCACCUCGACAAAGCCCUCAUCAUCAGAGGCGCGGCUACAGUAAGCAGCCGCCGACAAGACCCUAGGCGGUGGGACCGACCUGUCGACCAAGUAGCCGGCAGCCGGCGGGACCCACUAGCCGGCGGGACCCAGCAGCCGGCGGAGAAGCCGGCGAGCGUAGACACUGACGGCUGGGACCAGUUCCCAGUCGGAUUACCAUUGUACCCCCGGGGGGUAGGCCUAUAUAAACCCCCCGGAGCACCCAUGCAAAGGGUUCGCUUCGAGGUUCGCACCCAAGCAUAGCACACACCAUAGAUAGAGAGAAGCAAGAGCUAGCCUUGUUCUUCUUCUCCCUUGAUCUCAACAGCUCUAGGAGCAAUUGUAGCUACCCUUUAUCGAUCUAGUGAUCAUGCGGAGACCCCGCAGAGCAGGACUAGGGGUGUUAUCUCCUCGGAGAGCCCCGAACCUGGGUAAGAUUCGCCGGCGUGCAUGUCUUCGCCUCAUCCCGUUUCCGGGCACCGGCGACGUUUUAUUGGCUCCCACAAUGAUAAGCCAUCCCUUGGCAUAUGUCGCACCAACCACCCGACACAAUGUUCAUGCUUAUGUGGACGAUAUUGUGGUUAAAUCUAUAAAGGAGGAAACCCUGAUAGAUGAUUUGAGAGAAACCUUUGACAAUCUCCGGAUCUACAAGAUGAUGCUUAAGCCGGCCAAGUGUGUUUUUCGUGUUCCUGCAGGCAAACUCUUGGGUUUCUUGGUUUCUGACAGAGGCAUUGAAGCUAACCCGGAGAAGAUCAAGGCCAUCACCUCACUGGUUAAGCCGGCGUGUAUAAAUGAUGUUCAGCGCUUGGCGGGUCGCAUCGCUGCUUUAAGCCGGUUUAUAAGCCGUUUGGGUGAGAAGGCCAUGCCAUUAUAUCAGUUGAUGAAGAAAACUGAUAACUUUGUCUGGAAUGAUGCAGCUAAUACUGCCUUUGAGGAUUUGAAGAAGCAGCUGGCAGAGCCCCCAGUCCUUGCUGCUCCGGUUGAUAAAGAGCCCUUAUUAUUAUAUGCGGCGGCGAACACACGAGCUGUCAGUGUGGCUGUGGUGGUGGAGUGCAAGGAAGAGGGUAAGGAGCAUCCGGUUCAGCGGCCGGUUUAUUAUGUCAGCGAAGUGCUCAUUGAGUCCAAUCAGCGGUAUCCGCAUUGGCAGAAGCUUGUUUAUGGUGUGUUCAUGGCGAGCCGGAAGCUUAAGCAUUAUUUCCAGGGUCAUCCCAUCACUGUGGUCAGUUCUGCCCCUCUUGGUGAUAUCAUUCAAAACAGAGAGGCCACAGGGAGGGUGGCUAAGUGGGCUAUAGAGCUUGGACCUCAUGGUCUCAAGUACGUGCCACGCACUGCUGUUAAAUCUCAGGCCUUGGUGGAUUUCAUCAAUGACUGGACAGAGUCACAAGUGCCCGAGCAGAAGCCGGAUAACACAUAUUGGACUAUUCACUUUGAUGGGUCCAGGCAGUUGGAGGGCUCGGGGGCUGGAGUUGUGUUGGCUUCCCCUAAAGGUGACAAGUUCCAUUAUGUGCUACAGUUGUUGUUUCCUUGCACUAACAACGCGGCUGAGUACGAAGCCUUGCUCCAUGGUCUUCGGAUGGCUAAAGAGAUGAGCUUGAGCCGGGUAAGAUGCUUCGGCGACUCAGACUUGGUGGCUCAACAAGUAUCAGGAAAGUGGGAUUCCAAGGACCCUCUCAUGGCGGCUUAUCGCCGCGAAGUUGAUGCCAUUGCUGGGCACUUUAAGGGUUACCAAGUGGAACACAUCGAUCGCAGGAAGAACGAGGCGGCUGAUGCUUUAAGCCGGCUGGGCUCUCAGCGAAAACCGGUGCCGCCUAACACUUUCCUGGACGUCCUGUAUAGCCCUUCUGUUAAGUUGCCUACAGAGGAAGACUUGGCUGUCCUUGACCCGGAGGCACGACUGGUGGCAGCUCUCCAUAUCAUACCGGACUGGACAAUGCCCUAUCUGGCUUACAUGACCCGGGAAGAAUUGCCUGAGGAUGAAACUUUGGCCAGGCAAAUAACCCGGCGGGCUAAGUCCAUGAUCGUUAUCAAUGGCGAGUUGCAUCACCGCAGUGUUACAGGAGCAUUCCAGCGUUGUGUCUCCCCUGAGGAAGGUCAAGAGAUCUUGCGUGAGAUUCAUGAAGGGGAUUGUGGCCAUCACGCCGGCUCAAAAUCUCUUGUGGCCAAGGCUUUUCGUCAUGGUUUUUAUUGGCUGACGGCUCAUGCUGAUGCGGAAGAUUUGGUCAGUAAAUGUGAUGGUUGCCAAAGGUUCUCACGACGGGCUCAUGUGCCGGCUCAGGAAGCUGAAGAUGAUCCCGAUUACUUGGCCCUUUGCGGUCUGGGGGCUUGAUAUGGUUGGGCCUUUUAAAAGGUCCAAACAUAAGAAGACCCACCUCUUGGUGGCAGUUGACAAAUUUACCAAGUGGGUAGAAGCAGAGCCGGUUAGCAAGUGUGAUGCAGCCACGGCAGUUCAGUUUAUGAAGAAGGUGAUCUUUCGCUUUGGCUUUCCGCACAACAUUAUAACUGACAACGGCACCAAUCUAUCCAAAGGCGCUAUGGAGGAGUUUUGUCAACGAGAGCAUAUCCAACUUGAUGUUUCCUCAGUGGCUCAUCCUCAAUCCAAUGGUCAAGCUGAGAGAGCUAAUCAGGAGAUUCUGAAGGGCAUCAAGCCCCGGCUUUUGGUCCCUUUGCAACGGACGGCGGGUUGUUGGGUGGAGGAAUUGCCCUCCGUGCUAUAGAGCAUUAACACUACUCCUAACAGGUCUACAGGCUUUACGCCUUCCUUCAUGGUUUAUGGAGCAGAAGCAGUCCUCCCCAGUGACAUCCGUCAUGACUCGCCUCGAGUGGCGGCUUACGUUGAGGCGGAUAAUGAACAAGCGCGCCAAGAUGCUCUUGACUUGUUGGACGAACAUCGUGAUGUGGCAGCAGCUCGCUCAGCGAUUUACCAACAAGACCUGCGCCGUUAUCAUAGUCGCCGGGUUAAGUCCCGGGUCUUCUAGGAAGGCGAUCUGGUGCACCGGCUCAUCCAAGAUCAAACAGACGCGCACAAGUUAUCCCCGCCUUGGGAAGGGCCCUUUGUGGUCAGCAAGAAUUUGCACAACGGGUCAUAUUACCUCAUUGACAUUCGGGAGCACAAAGAUUCACGUAAGUCGGAGGAAGAAACCCGUCGGCCGUGGAACAUAGCUCAGCUUCGGCCUUACUACACUUGAGCCACCGGCUCUCAUGAUGUACAUAUUUCUUUAAGUCAUGUAUAUAUUAUGAUAAGCAAUAAAGCAGGACCUCUGUCCUUUUUUCUCCUCCAUAUGUGCACGUGUUGUUUUCAUUGCAAGAUUACAUGAUAAUCUGAAGGAGGAUCCGGCUUAUGAUCGUAUUCGAAUCUAGCCGCAGGCAAUAAGGUCACUUGGGGGCUUCCUGUUCAAACAUGGGUCAUAUUCGAACCAAAGAGAACAUAGCUGUCGAUACCCAUUUGAUUGGCAAAGUGCCGAGCUCAUUGGGGAGUUUUCUUUGAUCAUAUUUGAAUCUUAGUUUAACCCCUUUGAGAACCGACGUGGAUCGUAUUCGAAUCAGCGUCGUUAAACAAUUCUUAAAGUCAUUUGGGGGCUUCCUGUUCAAACAUGGGUCGUAUUCGAACCAAAGAGAACUUAGCUGUCGAUACCCUCUUGAUUAGCAUCGCCACACCCACUGGGGACUAUAUGAUCGUAUUCGAAUCCUAGCAUAACCCCUUUGGGCCGGGUCUCUGGUCGUAUUCGAACCGGAAGCCCCUAAGUUCCUCUGCUUUAUAGCAAGUUCCGUCUGAUUAUUUCCAAGUGUGUACGGCCGGGUCUCACUUUGCCGGCUUAACUUUGGUUUACAGUAUUAGCUGAACACAAUGGGUGUUAUUAAGACAGGUAAACCGGAAUUGCGGUACCAACCUUACUACCUGGGUUAUCUAAGCCGGAAGUAUGCUUGCAGGCCGCUAAGUACAUUAUUACGGCUGUAUUCAGGAUAUCAUUGAAGAUCAGUUCUUUUUGAUUCAUAUUCCGGGUUAUCUAAAACCUAUGAUUCUCAGGGCGGUAAGCCAUCUCGAGGCUUGUGAUUUGUGUUUUUCUGCAGGAUAGUUAAAGGCAACAAUUUUGAGAGUAAGGAAAACAAAUGAUUAAUUAUGACCCGGAGAAACAUAAAGGAGACAACUUCAACAGACUUCAGCAUUCAAGGUGUGCACGAUGGCACGACAAAGAUAAAGUAUUGGUCCUACUCUAUUACAAGACUCAUUGAGUCCAAAAGGGUGAGGCAUUGCUUGAUAAGCCGCCAGCCGAGUUACGACGCUUGCUGAGUGGAAGUCUCCGGCUCGUUCCUCUCUUCUCCUCCGGCUGAUCCCAAGACCUGGAAAUUUGAUGACUUCCAGUCGAUGCCGCUGAGAGCUUCGAAUUGGGCUUCCUCGUCAAUUAACCCGGCCGGGUCAAUCUCCGGGGCGAAGGUGUGCUGACGAGCCGGCGGGAUCAAGUUGAGGGCUUCAUAGCGCGGAGUAGGGAUCCUCUGAUUUUCUGCAUCGUAGCCCGGCUGAUACUUAGUCAGAUCUGUAUCAUUGCCAAUCAGAGUGGCCACCGGGCGUACGGCCUUCACGCAAGCUGCGAAGUCCUUCUGAUCGAAAGCGGAGCCGUCUUCCUUCAGGCUUGGAUAGCCAAGGGCGAUGUCCGCCGGGUCUAACUCUGGCAGGAACGCCUUGGCCCGGCUCAGCGCAGCGAUCGCUCCGGCUCUUGCAGAGGCCCGUCGCAGCUCUUGGAUCCGUUGAGGCAGAACGGCGAGCCGGCGAAGGACUUCUGCCAGGUGAGUCGGCACCUCGUUGGAUAGGGCCACCACAGCCAAGGCACGCUGUGACCCGGUGUAGAGUUGCUCCACCAGGGUAUACACGGCCUUCAGCUUGGUUACCACACUCUGGUUGAGGUUGGCGCUUCUGGGACCAGUUUAACAGAGUCAGAUAAGCCGCCGACAAGGAUGAAUUAUGAGAUAUAAAAAUUCUAAACUUGAUGAAAGCCGGUGAGACGACUUACCGAAGAUUGCGGCCACCAUCUGGGACACUUGGCGCUUUAGGCCGGAGAGCUCGGCGGUCUUCUCGGAGAGAGCCUUCUCCGCCUGUUCAGCCCGGUUCACCAAUGCGGCCUUCUCUUCGGCCCACGCCUUCCGCUCAGCGUCAAACUCCGUCUUCAGCUUCUCUUGCGCGGCGAUGCUGGACACAAAUUUGGCAUUUGCCUUCCGGGUCUCCAUCUCUUGCAUCUUCAGCCGGUUCUUGAGAUCAGCGAGGUCAGCCUCAAGCUUCUUGCCAGCAGCCUGCAUAAAUUUCCGGGUUAUGGCAUGAACAGUUACUAUACAAAUUUAAAGUCCCAAGCAUUUUCCAAGCAAAGACACUUGGCACUUGGGGGCUAAUGUAUAUUGAAUGUUUCUAUCUACAAAUUGCCGGUUCAAUUGGGUAAGCCGGAACCUAAGUCUACAACAUAUUCAAUCAUAAGUCGUCGACUUGGGGGCUAGCAUGGUAAAGGUAACUAUGCAGUAAGUAAGAGCACAGAAGAAUAAUACCUCAGAUUUCUGCUGGAUCUGGGUCACCAUGGCAAUCUCUGCGUCCCGGCUCUUGUGCACUUGGCUGACGAAGCCGGAGACGAUCUCUCCAAUGUUCAAAUUGGAGUAGUCAGUGAGGUCCAGGUUAACCCGGCGGGACUCUAGCAGCUCCCCUUUGGCGGAGCACUUGGCCAGCGCGGUAGGUCUCCCCGGCUCAACAAACUCCGUCCGGGUCAUCUACUGGUUGAGCUAAGCUGGAGGCCUCCGGGUUAACAAAAGCUUCUGCAGUUGCCUUGGUGGUUGGGGCAGCGGCCUCAGGUGCAGAGGCAGCUGGCGGCUCUUGAGCGGCUGCCUCUGGCUCAGGCAAGUCCGGCUCAUCGACCGGCUUGGACUUCUUCGCCCUCUUGGUGAGCUUGGCCUGGGCACUGAAAAGACAGAAAGGUUAAGCACAAUAGUGUAAGUAAAGACAAAGUACAACAUGAGGUGAUCAUCAUUACCCGGGCACGGUCUUGAAAGCCGGCAGGCUUGACUGCAUAGAGUCGCCAGAAGAGGGGGAAGUUUCCUGGUAAUUUGAGUCAGAGGAAUUAAGUGGUUGACGUAUAACACCCGCCAAAGGAUGAAAGGGAUACAAAGUUGAGAUCACCUCGGUCCGGCGCUCCCUCGACGCGUCUGGUAAGCCGGAAGAGAGGUCGGCGUCCUUGUUGGUCCGGGUGUGACACCGGCUUUCAUGAGUCUGUUGCUUCAAAAUAAAUUGAGGAUCUUGAUAAGCUAAAGGAUGAGAAAAGCUUACUUUCCGGGUUACCCUUCGGACUUUCAGCCUUGGCAAGGGCUCCGAGUCGGAGGAAAGUGACAUUACCUCUUCAACCACCGGGUUACUUGCUCCGGUGUCGUCCUAUUGAUGAACAAGUAUUGAUAAGGCGGACAGAAGUAAACAACAGAUACAACAAGGACUUACAGGCUCAGGGGUUACCUCUGACUUGGAGCUGUCGCUUAGUUGCAUCAGCUCUGAAGCAGUAGGCAUGCUUCCUUUCUUGCGAGGGGCGGCUUUCUACGCCUUUCUGGCCUUCUUGGCCGCCUCAUGGUCAUACUUGACCCGCCAGAACUUGUCAUCAGCCUGAAAAAUACAAUGAUGAAUUCUUAAAACGAUUCAGAUGAAAGUUAUAUACAGAAGAAGAUAAAAUGUUCAGAUCAGCGGCUUACCGCUGGGGCUGGGUUGGUCUUGCAAAAGGGGGCCAACCCGGUCCUCCCGCAGUCUGCCAGGCUCUCGUUCAAGAGAGCCUUGGUCAUAUCCUCUGCAACGUCUUCAGGAAGAUCGUUGCGGCUGUGUCUCUGAGGGUCAUCCUUUCGGCCCGUGUACUCGCACAUUAAGCCGGGGUGGCGGCUCAAUGGGAUCACCCGCCAGGAGAUCCAGACCCGGACCAGAUCAAUUCCGUUCAGACCAUUGCCCAGGAGAGCCUUGAUCUUGUUGAUGGUGGGAAGCAGAGGUUGGCGCUCCGCUUGAGUCAGCUUGUCUGACAGUGGGUGAGUCGGCUCCAGACGCGAGGGGCGAAAGCCGGGCAACGGACUCUCAUCAGCCGGCGACGUGUCUUGGCAGUAAAACCAUGUCAGAUUCCAGUCCUUGGGGUGGCUGGGCGGCUCUGCGUAAGGGAAAAGGCAGUCCCUACGCCGCUGGAUGGAGAUGCCGCCUAGCUCCAAACUCGGCCUGUUGGCACACUCGUUCUGGCGGUUUAAAUAGAAAAGCUCUCUGAAGAGCAGCAGACUGGGUUCUUCUCCAAGGUAAACCUCGCAGAACACUUGGAAGUUGCAGAUAUUGGACACUGAGUUGGGUCCUAUGUCCUGAGGCCGCAGAUCAAAGAAAUUCAGAACAUAUCUGAAAAACUUUGAGCCGGGCGGUGCGAAGCCCCGGCUCAUGUGAUCCGCAAAAAUGACCACCUCCCCGUCCCUUGGUUGUGGUCUCUCCUCUGAUGGGUCGGGGGCACGGUAAGACAUGACGUCCUUCUUGGGCAGAUAGCCAGACUUGACAAAAUCUGCUAACGUCUCGUUGGUGACAUUGGACCUCAUCCAGUUGCAAGUGAUGGAGGCUUUAGGAGCUUUGGGAGGCAUGGUGAUUGUUGGAAGCCUAUGAUACAGGGAAAAAUGUCCGGUUUAAUAAUGAGCCGGAGGAAACUUACAAGUUAAGGUUUAAGAUGGCGGCUUAUGGAGGGGACUAAUGAUAUAUGUCUAAAUGCAUCGGGUUAUCUGAAGCCGCUGGUGUGCUUGAGGGUAAUUCAAAAUUUUCUACGGCCUUAUCACAGAUGAGCCGGAAAUUCUAUGGUGCAUGGUCUCCUUUAAGUCGGAAGAUUCUACGGCGCGUGUUUUCUUUAAACCGGAAAUGUAACCCGCCAUGACUCAACGAGUGCAGUUUUUUACUAAGUGUGGUGAAAACAAGUUUCACACAUGGCAGUAAAUAAUUUGGAUCAAGUGGUCGACAGAAAAAGAAAAUUUCUAGACCUAAAAACAGACGCGAGGGAAGUUCUUGAGCUCGAAUGAGGCCUUUAUGCAGUAAAAAGAGGCCUACUUGCAUUUGAAAUGAGUGCUAAACAGCCGCCGCACUAGUUCUAUCCUAUACUAAGAUCAAAAAGAGGCAGUAAAAAUCAAAUCUACUGAGGGCCGCGAUGAACUAUGAAGAACAAAGGAAGAACUACGGAGCCCUAGUGCGGAUCUGCCCUAUGGAAUAGCGAAGACUCACCGGUGCUGAAGAGACGCGAAGGUCGUCACGUUUCUCUGGUCAGAUCAGGAUGAUGCAGCGGCCUGAGUUGGUGACGACACGAAGACCGACGGCGGCGGCGGCAGCAGAGCUCGGGCAGGGGAGCAGUAGCGCGAGGAAGAAGACGAAGGAGAAGAGAAGUGGCUGAAGGCCCGUCGGGCCGGCCUAUUUAUAAGGACGAGCUCAUAAGUGGGCGCGAGAAUCAAGGAGACCACGGCGUGGUUAUCUCCCCACGAAACGCCUCGAUUUUCGGGAUGACAGUAAAGAUAAGAUCCGUUGCGGAUCUGGCGGAGUAAAAAACGGACUUAAUGGAAGAUGAUGUCACGGCGGAUUACCCAGAGUCCAUAGGAUGACGUCACGCCGGGUUAUGGCCUUCACAUAAUUGUAAGCCGGAGAUUUUCUGUCGAAAAGAUUGAAGAUUGACAUGAGCCGGCUCAAAUCAAUCUGGGGCCUAAUGUUAAGGAUAUAGACCUUAGAGUCACCCGCCAGAAGGGGCCGGGUUACUCAUAUGGUCAUUCCCAGAAGCCCGGCGCUAAGCUUAAAGACGGUGGGCCAGAGAUGGGCUUAAGACCCGGAUACGGCUUAAGGCCCGUAGUUGCAAUUAUUAUCAUGGUAGAACUUGUAGUGUAAGGCAAGAAUAGUUGAGAGUCCGAGCCGGACACUCUUAUGAGCCGGCCGGGACUCUGAGAGCUGCUGGGCGUCAGCCUCCCUAUAUAAAGGGACGACCCGGCAGCGGUUUAGGGACAAGAAAGAUCUGAUCGAGAGCCAGGCAUAGCAGUUUAGCUCCCUAGUCAUCGAAACCCUAAUCAAUACCACCUCAACUGGACGUAGGCGUUUACCUUCACCGUAAGGGGCCGAACCAGUAUAAACCCUCGUAUUCCUUUUCCCGCUUAACCCCUUUAAGCUUCCUAGCUGCGAUGGCUCCACGACUAAGUCCUAGCUCGAGGACAUCUGCCGUGACAAUUCCACGACAAUACCGGUGUUAUGUUCCUUGAUAUUGCGUUCCUAACGCGGUUGGGUGAUUUAUGGGACCCCCUUGACAGUUCGCUUUGAAUAAAACUCUUCCAGCAAGGCCCAACCUUGGUUUUACAUUUGCCUCACCUAGCCUUUUUUUCCCUUGGGAGUCGCGCAUCCCGAGGGUCAUCUUUAUUUUAACCCCCCCGGGCCAGUGCUUCCCUAAGUGCUGGUCUGAACCGAGUAGACUGCGGGGCCCCCUCGUGGAAACUCGAGGUCUGGUUUUACUCGUAGGAUGUCUCAUCCGGUGUUGCCCUGAGAACGAGAUAUGUGCAGCUCCUAUCGGGAUUGUCGGCACAUCGGGCGGCUUUGCUGGUUUUGUUUUACCAUCGUCGAAAUGUCUUGUAACCGGGAUUCCGAGACUGAUCGGGUCUUCCCGGGAGAAGGAAUAUCCUUCGUUGACCGUGAGAGCUUAUAAUGGGCUAAGUUGGGACACCCCUGCAGGGUAUAAACUUUCGAGAGCCGUGCCCGCGGUUAUGUGGCAGAUGGGAAUUUGUUAAUAUCCGGUUGUAGAGAACUUGACACUUGACCGUAAUUAAAACGCAUCAACCGCGUAUGUAGCCAUGAUGGUCUCUUCUCGGUGGAGUCCAGGAAGUGAACACGGUUUCUGGGUUAUGUUUGACGUAAGUAGGAGUUCAGGAUCACUUCUUGAUCAUUACUAGUUGACGACCGUUCCGUUGCUUCUCUUCUCGCUCUCAUUUGCAUAUGUUAGCCACCAUAUAUGCUAGUGCUUGCUGCAGCUCCACCUCACUACCCCAUCCUUUCCUAUAAGCUUAAAUAGUCUUGAUCCCGCGGGUGUGAGAUUGCUGAGUCCUCGUGACUCACAGAUACUUCCAAAACAGUUGCGGGUGUCGAGGGUACCAGUGCAGGUGACGCAACUGAGCUCAAGUGGGAGCUCGAUGAAGAUCUUGUUCGUUACUACGCUUCUUUUCAUGUUGAUCAGUAGUGGAGCCCAGUUGGGACAAUCGGGGAUCUAGCAUUUGGGGUUGUCUUCUUUUCCUUUGGUUCCGUAGUCGGACCUAUGUGUGUACUCUGAUUGAUGUAUGAUUUAUUUAUGUAUUGUGUGAAGUGGCGAUUGUAAGCCAACUCUUUAUCCCUUUCUUGUUCAUUACAUGGGAUUGUGUGAAGAUGACCCUUCUUGCGACAAAACCACAAUGCGGUUAUGCCUCUAAGUCGUGCCUCGACACGUGGGAGAUAUAGCCGCAUCGUGGGCGUUACAAGUUGGUAAUCAGAGCCAUCCCCGACUUAGGAGCCCCCUGCUUGAUUGAAUCGCUGGCGUUGUUGAGUCUAGAACAAAAAUGUUUUGAGUCUUAGGAUUAUAUAUAUCGGAGAGUAGGAUUCUUUUUACUCCUCAGUCCCUUUGUCGCUCUGGUGAGGCCUCCUGACGUAGAAGUUUUGACUUUUCUCUCCUCGAAUUUCACUAAAAAAAUUUAGGAUCACGCGGGUAUCUUGGAAUCGUUCCGAUGGUUUUGUGACGAGAACAUUGUUCUUGGUGCCUCCUGACAUUUAGGGGUUGUGGCAGUGUCCCGGGGAGUUGAGCUCCGAGGUGUUGUCGUCACAAUUUUAUCGUUGCAGUUCUGGAAUACCUGAGUUUCGCCGACAUCGAAAUCUCUUUUAUGCAGUUGUUGGUGAGAUCACCUCGACGCCACCCAGUACUGGGGCGGGAGUUCGGGAGUAUCGCCAUAACUCGUAUAACGGAUGUUUUUUGAAGGUUGAGGUACACGAUUUCCGAAGGUUUCUUGGUUAUGUGUUGACGGAUGGAUACAGCUGGAUCUAGGGAUUGCUAGUUUGGGCAAUAUAUUUUGUGUCCCCUGUAUCCCCAACACCAGAUUGCAUAACCAGAAAGUUUCGGGAGUUUAUAAGUGGGAAUUCAAUUAGCUCUUAGGAUAUCUUUCCGACAGACGCAUGAUAUGAGAUUGGGGUUCGACGUCUGGUGGUCCGCCUUUCCACGGUUGGUUUUACAGUGGUCUCGUAGUGUCUUAAAGAGUCCUUGGCUAUGCCGACUCGGGGACGCUUCGUAUAUCAUGUGCACUGCCUUGUACAUGAUGGUGCUGUACGAUCGAGCCCGUGUGGGCCCCACCACGAAAACUUCGAACGAAAUCUCUAUCAUAUGUUUGUUCCGGCUUAUUUUGCAAGCCAAUCCUUUGUUUUGUUUUGUUUUGUGGUAUUCGAGUUGCUUCGAAGUCAAAUGUUGAAUCCAUACCUUUCCUAAACGGUGUUCUCAUAUUGCUAUGUGAAUACUAAUCCUUUCGAUCAUCGAGGUCGUCAUGUUAAUUCUUUUCCAACCGGCGUGCUUCUCUUCGAGUGGAUCCGAUCAUUCCAACAUUCGCAAGAUCAAUUCUAAGCUUUUUCUCAAUGGUGUUUGCUUCAUCCGUCCCUAGUUGUCUUUGUUUUUCCCGCCCUCCCACCCUUUUCUUCAAGGACUCAGAUUUCUCAAUCAUGUAUCCUUUUAUUCAUGUGAAGUCCCCUCAUUCUUUUCAAUCAAUGUUCUUACCCGGUGGUUCUCAUGAAGAUGUUCUUCAAGUUUAUCAUUCUUCAUUCUUUUUCUUCUCCGGUGGAUUCAAUUCAAGCUUUUGGUGUUGACCAUAUUCCCUUCCUUGUUUCAAGUGUUUUCGUUUGCCGGUGUAUCUUAAUCAUUCCCCGCUUGCUAUUCGAUUGUUCCGGAGUGCUGAAGAUAUCUCUGAAGAUUCGUGUUUCCACUCCACAUCAAUUCUAACUAUUUCGAGGUUGUUACCUCAUUCAAGCCAUUUAAUUCAACCGGUGCAAUCUCCUUUUCAAGUAAUCAUUUCAACGGUGUUUCUAUUGAGUGGGCCCUAACCCACAGGUCUUUUCCCAGGGUCUUACCUGACUCUUCUAAUUUAUCCGGAGCGAUUCUCAAAUUCUCUUCAAAGUUUGACGUAAGAAUGAAUUUUCAUCAGUCAAAUGUCUUUCUCCAAGAUCUUUCAAAUUCUUUUCAUUGUUGGUUCAAUCUUUCUAAUUUUCAUCCCGGAGUAUCUCAACAAUUAAUGGUGGUGUUUCUCGUCGUCAUUCUCGGAUCUUGAAGACCGAAGAAGAAUUCCUCGUAAAUCCUUAUCCGUUCUUCCAAAGAUUCAUGGUUCUAACUUGUUGCCAUCCUCUCAAAUUGUUUCCAAUCGCGCAAUUCUUUUCUUACCCAUCCGGAGCAUUUCAGAGUUGUUUUCAUUUCUUGAUCAUCCAAAGGCCAUCAUUUCAGAAGAUUUCUUCGUUCUAAGUUUUCAGCUUCGUUCUCCAAUUAUUCUAAAUUGAUGUUUCUUCGUUCAUCUCCAUAUUCUCCCGAUGCAUCCUUCAAGUAUCCUCUAGUCAGCUCGUGAUCUAUUCGUUCUCAUGUAUCUAAAUUCCCUCAAGUAUUUUCGCGCGCUCUUUAAUUCUACCGGUGUUUCGUCCUCUUUUCUUCAACUGUUUUCAAUUCUCGCGGUGGUUCGUUCAAGAUUUUCUCUUCCUUCGUUAUCAUAUCAAUUUAUUCGUUGUUUCAAUCCUACCGGUGUUUCGAUGAAGACCUUCACAAGUUUGUGUUAUAUCUCUCUUAAUCCUUUCUACGAGAAUAAGUAGUAUGACAAAUCCAUUGCUUGCCAUCAACUAAUUGGUGAAGGAUGAGCAUAAUGUAAUUCUUAUUCUUGUUUCAUCGAGUAAAUUCAAUUCCUUAUUCCAGAGGUUCAUCAAAGUUCUUGAUUUUAUUUGUUUAUCUUUCUUUCCGGAGUUCCAAGUUUUCUCGGUUAUAUCAUUUCAAAGCUUCAUCUUAUCACUGCAAGGUUUCACCUUGUGUUUUCAACUCCUCUUUCUUUUAUCAUCCUUUUAUUACCGGAGUUCUUCAUGGAGGAUCUACAUGGUGCUUCGUCAAGGAUUCUUUUCAUUCUUCAAUUGUUCUUCAAGAUUUCUCUCGGAGUUAAGAUCCGCCAAGCUAUACUCUAAAAUAAACAUGGUGUUCAACACAUGUUUUGUUUUGUGGAGUCCAAGCAUUCUUCAUCUUGCAUUCUAAAGUGCAAUUCGUCCUACCUUAUCAUUUGAGGUGGUGUUAUGUCAUUCUUUACAAUUUGAGUUCGCUUUUCAUGAUUCCCAUGUUGCCAAGAAUGAGAUAUUUUAAAUCCACAAAUCUCUUCAUUGGUUUUUUAUCUUGUGUCAUGUUUCACCUAAAGCUUUCCCUAAGGAAUGUUGCCAUUAUGGUGCUUAUCAAUGAUCCAAGUUUUCUCCUAUCCUCUUGGUGAAAGAAGUUUUUCAUCGCCUUGGUGCUCUCACUCAAAUCAAUGGCUUCCUUUAGUGGCCGUUUGUCACCUCAUAAUUUCGAGAAGUUUUCCAUAAAGUCCACUGCAAGCUUAUUCUUUUCUUUGUUGAUUUUUCAACAACUCCGUUCUUCUCCGUUCGUUUCAUUGCAUUGUUUCAUUUCUACCGGAGGCAUUGUGAUAUCGCUCUCUUCGACCCAUCUUCUCGUUUUGUCAAGAUCAUCUUCUUUCCUUGCUUAUCCAUUUAACCGGAGUGUGGUGUCAUCUCUUCAAUUUCUUUUCAUCUUAUCAAGUUUCCUUCUCUUUUUCAACCGGAGUGCUGUCAAAAUUAUGUCAUUCUUGUUCCUUGGCUAUCUCGUUAUAUCGGUGUGGUUUCAUAUUCUUUUGGUUCGUUAAGCCCUUGUUUCAUGUCUUUCAACCCACAAGGUUCUCAUAAUGUUCCUUGUUCUCCUUUUCUAACGGAGUGUUUGUAAUCUCGUUCAUCUCCGUUCUAUUCUUUUCUAAAAAUUGUUUAACCUCUCAAGGUUCUUUGGUUUCACUCGUUUGUCAAUAGCAACUUUGUUUUACCUUUUCCUCUUCCGUUUCCCUCCGGUGCCAUCCUAGAUCUCGGGACGAGAUCCUCUCGUAGUGGUGGACUGUUGUAACACCCCGGAUGUAACUUCCCAUAUUUGUAUCUCCAACUCUUGCCAUUUUCGGCUAUGUGUUAUGAUAUUCCCUUUGUGGUCGGGUUUUGUUUUUCGUUUUGUAUUUUUGUUCAUGUCAUGCAUCUCAUAUCAUGUCAUCAUGUGCAUUGCAUUUGCAUACGUGUUCGUCUCUUGCAUCCGAGCUUUUUCCCCGUUGUCCGUUUUGCAAUCCGGCACUCCCACCUCCUCCGGCGCACUCCUCUUGUUUCUUUUCGUGAGCGGAUGUUGAACGCUCUCGGAAUGGACCGAGGCUUGUCAAGUGGCCUUGGUAUACCACCGGUAGACCACCGGUCAAGUUUCGUUUCAUUUGGAGGUCGUUUGGUACUCCAACGGUUAACCGGGUAACCGCAAAGUCUUUUUGUGUGUUGCAGCAAACCCCCCUCCAAACAGCCCAAAACCCCUCUAAGUCAUCUCCAUGCUCUAGGUCGUUCGAUCACGAUCGUGUGGGCGAAAACCGCACUUCGUUUGGAGUCUCCUAGCUCCCUCUACCUAUAUAUACACCUCCCCCUCCGAAUACAUUCGCAGAUCAAACCCUAGAAACUCCUCCCGUCGCCGUCGAACGUGUCCGUACCGCCGACGGACGAACCCG